GACGAACGCUGGCGGCGUGCUUAACACAUGCAAGUCGAACGGUAAGGCCCUUCGGGGUACACGAGUGGCGAACGGGUGAGUAACACGUGGGUGAUCUGCCCUGCACUUCGGGAUAAGCCUGGGAAACUGGGUCUAAUACCGGAUAGGACCCUGGGAUGCAUGUCCUGGGGUGGAAAGCUUUUGCGGUGUGGGAUGGGCCCGCGGCCUAUCAGCUUGUUGGUGGGGUGAUGGCCUACCAAGGCGACGACGGGUAGCCGGCCUGAGAGGGUGACCGGCCACACUGGGACGGAGAUAGGGCCCAGACUCCUACGGGGGGCAGCAGUGGGGAAGAUUGCACAAUGGGCGCAAGCCUGAUGCAGCGACGCCGCGUGAGGGAUGACGGCCUUCGGGUUGUAAACCUCUUUCAGCACCGACGAAGCGCAAGUGACGGUAGGUGCAGAAGAAGGACCGGCCAACUACGUGCCAGCCGCCGCCGUAA
Molecule: ribosomal RNA, 478 nt
Filed under: uncultured bacterium
Lineage: Bacteria
Description: partial 16S ribosomal RNA
Rfam family: Bacterial small subunit ribosomal RNA
Source: RNAcentral